Molecule: ribosomal RNA, 253 nt
Filed under: uncultured bacterium
Lineage: Bacteria
Description: partial 16S ribosomal RNA
Rfam family: Bacterial small subunit ribosomal RNA
Source: RNAcentral
UACAGAGGUGGCAAGCGUUGUUCGGAAUUACUGGGCGUAAAGGGUGCGUAGGCGGUCCUUUAAGUCAGCGGUGAAAUCCCACGGCUCAACCGUGGAACUGCCGUUGAUACUGAGGGACUUGAGUUCGUCCGAGGUCGCUGGAAUGCGUGGUGUAGCGGUGAAAUGCAUAGAUAUCACGCAGAACACCGAUUGCGAAGGCAGGUGACUGGGACGCGACUGACGCUGAGGCACGAAAGUGUGGGGAGCAAACAGG